CAACCUGCCGCUUACUCGGGGAUAGCCUUUCGAAAGAAAGAUUAAUACCCGAUGGUAUAAAGAGUUCGCAUGUUCUCUUUAUUAAAGAAUUUCGGUAAGCGAUGGGGAUGCGUUCCAUUAGAUUGUUGGCGGGGUAACGGCCCACCAAGUCUACGAUGGAUAGGGGUUCUGAGAGGAAGGUCCCCCACAUUGGAACUGAGACACGGUCCAGACUCCUACGGGAGGCAGCAGUGAGGAAUAUUGGUCAAUGGACGCGAGUCUGAACCAGCCAAGUAGCGUGAAGGAUGACUGCCCUAUGGGUUGUAAACUUCUUUUAUAAGGGAAUAAAGUGAGGGACGUGUCCCUUUUUGUAUGUACCUUAUGAAUAAGGAUCGGCUAACUCCGUGCCAGCAGCCGCGGUAAUACGGAGGAUCCAAGCGUUAUCCGGAUUUAUUGGGUUUAAAGGGAGCGUAGGUUGACAUAUAAGUCAGCUGUGAAAGUUUACGGCUCAACCGUGAAAUAGCAGUUGAUACUGUAUGUCUUGAGUGUACAAGAGGUGGGCGGAAUUCGUGGUGUAGCGGUGAAAUGCUUAGAUAUCACGAAGAACUCCGAUUG
This 594-nucleotide ribosomal RNA is filed under the name uncultured Bacteroidota bacterium. RNAcentral describes it as "bacterial SSU rRNA". It matches the Rfam family "Bacterial small subunit ribosomal RNA", at positions 122 to 715 of the family's 1533-position model. Lineage: Bacteria; Pseudomonadati; Bacteroidota. The record is from RNAcentral.